This 468-nucleotide ribosomal RNA is filed under the name uncultured bacterium. RNAcentral's name for it is "partial 16S ribosomal RNA". It matches the Rfam family "Bacterial small subunit ribosomal RNA", at positions 28 to 507 of the family's 1533-position model. The record is from RNAcentral.
GACGAACGCUGGCGGCGUGCUUAACACAUGCAAGUCGAACGGAAAGGCCCUGCUUUUGUGGGGUGCUCGAGUGGCGAACGGGUGAGUAACACGUGAGUAACCUGCCCUUGACUUUGGGAUAACUUCAGGAAACUGGGGCUAAUACCGGAUAUGAGCUCCUGCUGCCUGGUGGGGGUUGGAAAGUGUCGGCGGUUGGGGAUGGACUCGCGGCUUAUCAGCCUGGUGGUGGGGUAGUGGCCUACCAAGGCCUUGACGGGUAGCCGGCCUGAGAGGGUGACCGGCCACAUUGGGACUGAGAUACGGCCCAGAGUCCUACGGGAGGCAGCAGUGGGGAGUAUUGCACAAUGGGCGGAAGCCUGAUGCAGCAACGCCGCGUGCGGGAUGACGGCCUUCGGGUUGUAAACCGCUUACGCCUGUGACGAAGCGUGAGUGACGGUAAUGGGUAAAGAAGCACCGGCUAACUACGUG